GACGAACGCUGGCGGUGUGCUUCACACAUGCAAGUCGAACGAGGUAGCAAUACCUAGUGGCGGACGGGUGAGUAACGCGUGGGAAUCUGCCUUUAGAUGGGGGGAUAACGGGUCGAAAGACUCGCUAAUACCGCAUAUGGCGAAAGUUGAAAGGAGUAAUCCGUCUAAAGAUGAGCCCGCGUCCGAUUAGCUAGUUGGUAGAGUAAAAGCCUACCAAGGCGACGAUCGGUAGCUGGUCUGAGAGGAUGAUCAGCCACAAUGGGACUAGAAGACACGGCCCAUACUCCUACGGGAGGCAGGCACGUGGGAAUUUUACGGCAAUGGCGAAAGCCUGACGUAGCGACACCGCGUGAGCGAAGAAG
This 362-nucleotide ribosomal RNA is filed under the name uncultured bacterium. RNAcentral describes it as "bacterial SSU rRNA". It matches the Rfam family "Bacterial small subunit ribosomal RNA", at positions 28 to 413 of the family's 1533-position model. The record is from RNAcentral.